Molecule: ribosomal RNA, 1086 nt
Filed under: Pyrenophora dactylidis
Lineage: Eukaryota; Fungi; Ascomycota; Dothideomycetes; Pleosporales; Pleosporaceae
Description: LSU rRNA
Rfam family: Eukaryotic large subunit ribosomal RNA
Source: RNAcentral
UACCCGCUGAACUUAAGCAUAUCAAUAAGCGGAGGAAAAGAAACCAACAGGGAUUGCCCUAGUAACGGCGAGUGAAGCGGCAACAGCUCAAAUUUGAAAUCUGGCUCUUUUAGAGUCCGAGUUGUAAUUUGCAGAGGGCGCUUUGGCUUUGGCAGCGGUCCAAGUUCCUUGGAACAGGACGUCACAGAGGGUGAGAAUCCCGUACGUGGUCGCUAGCUAUUGCCGUGUAAAGCCCCUUCGACGAGUCGAGUUGUUUGGGAAUGCAGCUCUAAAUGGGAGGUAAAUUUCUUCUAAAGCUAAAUACUGGCCAGAGACCGAUAGCGCACAAGUAGAGUGAUCGAAAGAUGAAAAGCACUUUGGAAAGAGAGUCAAACAGCACGUGAAAUUGUUGAAAGGGAAGCGCUUGCAGCCAGACUUGCUUGCAGUUGCUCAUCCGGGCUUUUGCCCGGUGCACUCUUCUGCAGGCAGGCCAGCAUCAGUUUGGGCGGUGGGAUAAAGGUCUCUGUCACGUACCUCUCUUCGGGGAGGCCUUAUAGGGGAGGCGACAUACCACCAGCCUGGACUGAGGUCCGCGCAUUUUGCUAGGAUGCUGGCGUAAUGGCUGUAAGCGGCCCGUCUUGAAACACGGACCAAGGAGUCUAACAUCUAUGCGAGUGUUUGGGUGUCAAGCCCGAACGCGUAAUGAAAGUGAACGGAGGUGGGAACCCGCAAGGGUGCACCAUCGACCGAUCCUGAUGUCUUCGGAAGGAUUUGAGUAAGAGCAUGGCUGUUGGGACCCGAAAGAUGGUGAACUAUGCUUGAAUAGGGUGAAGCCAGAGGAAACUCUGGUGGAGGCUCGCAGCGGUUCUGACGUGCAAAUCGAUCGUCAAAUUUGGGCAUAGGGGCGAAAGACUAAUCGAACUAUCUAGUAGCUGGUUCCUGCCGAAGUUUCCCUCAGGAUAGCAGUAACGUAUUCAGUUUUAUGAGGUAAAGCGAAUGAUUAGAGGCCUGGGGGUUGAAACAACCUUCACCUAUUCUCAAACUUUAAAUAUGUAAGAAGUGUUUGUUACUUAAUUGAACGUACACAUUUGAAUGAAGCGUUAUUAG